CAGAGCAGAGGUGAAAUUCUGCAAAGUGAAAGACGAUAAGAUUCGCCUGUCUACAAGUCAAAUAAUUUGCAUAGCUGCAAUCAGCGUCUUUAUAACGUGGGUUUUUAUUGGAACAUUCCUGGAGAUUCUGAUUAUACAGAAUAUAGUUAAUGUUCCUUGUGAUAAAGGCAAAAUUCUACAGAGCUUCGUUUCAGUAUCUUUAAUUACAUCAAAUCAAAAACUUUUCACUACCGACUUCAAUAACGAGACAAGAUUUAUUUGUGGAAUUAAAUUCUUACUUACUUGUAUCAUAGUUUUUUCACAUUUAAUCUUACAUUCGGGAAUUGUGUAUACAACAACAGGUAAAUGAAUACUAAUUUUUAAUAUUUACAGAUAAUUUUUAAUAUUUAAAAAUCGUAAUAAUUAUAAAUUGUUCUGUACACAUCUUAUCGCAUUAUUUUAUAUAAAACAUUAAACAUUUUAUACAUAAAAAACAUUAUGAAACUCCAUAAAUUUGUAAAGCCAAACAACCAUCGGAUUACAUUAGGCUACUUUUCCGCGAUUAUAUAUGUCAGAUCCGAAUAGC
Long non-coding RNA from Centruroides sculpturatus (bark scorpion), 565 nucleotides. RefSeq lists it as uncharacterized. The transcript is spliced from 3 exons. Lineage: Eukaryota; Metazoa; Arthropoda; Arachnida; Scorpiones; Buthidae. The record is from RefSeq and is a predicted model, not a curated record.